CCCGCUUGUUUCGGAUUCUUGGGCGUAAGGGUGCGUAGGCGGCGCGGUAAGUCGGGUGUGAAAUCUCGGAGCUUAACUCCGAAACUGCAUUCGAUACUGCCGUGCUUGAGGACUGGAGAGGAGACUGGAAUUUACGGUGUAGCGGUGAAAUGCGUAGAUAUCGUAAGGAAGACCAGUGGCGAAGGCGGGUCUCUGGACAGUUCCUGACGCUGAGGCACGAAGGUCAGGGGAGCAAACGGGAUUAGAUACCCCGGUAGUCCUGACAGUAAACGGUGCACGUUUGGUGUGGGAGGAUUCGACCCCUUCUGCGCCGGAGCUAACGCGUUAAACGUGCCGCCUGGGGAGUACGGUCGCAAGAUUAAAACUCAAAGAAAUUGACGGGGGCCCGCACAAGCGGUGGAGUAUGUGGCUCAAUUCGAUGCAACGCGAAGAACCUUACCAGGCCUUGACAUGCAUCUCUAAGUUGGUGAAAGCCAGCGAGUCCCGAAAGGGACAAUUUGCACAGGUGCUGCAUGGCUGUCGUCAGCUCGUGUCGUGAGAUGUUGGGUUAAGUCCCGCAACGAGCGCAACCCUUGUCAUUAGUUGCUACGAAAGGGCACUCUAAUGAGACUGCCGGUGACAAACCGGAGGAAGGUGGGGAUGACGUCAAGUCCUCAUGGCCCUUAUGGGUAGGGCUUCACACGUCAUACAAUGGUACAUACAGAGGGCCGCCAACCCGCGAGGGGGAGCUAAUCCCAGAAAGUGUAUCGUAGUCCGGAUUGUAGUCUGCAACUCGACUACAUGAAGUUGGAAUCGCUAGUAAUCGCGGAUCAGCAUGUCGCGGUGAAUACGUUCCCGGGUCUUGUACACACCGCCCGUCACACCAUGGGAGCGGGUUUUACCAGAAGUAGGUAGCUUAACCGCAAGGGGGGCGCUUACCACGGUAGGAUUCGUGACUGGGGUGAAGUCGUAACAAGGUAAC
This 961-nucleotide ribosomal RNA is filed under the name uncultured bacterium. Its description in RNAcentral is "bacterial SSU rRNA". It matches the Rfam family "Bacterial small subunit ribosomal RNA", at positions 535 to 1500 of the family's 1533-position model. The record is from RNAcentral.